GUGGGAUGUUCUGGAUGUGAUGAAGUGUGCAUGGAGGUUAUGAGUGGUCAAUAAAAAAUCAGUCACUCCUUGAAAAAAGAGUAAACAUUAUAUGUGGUCUCAUGGUGGUGAUUCAAAGAGUCUCUGACCAGAGCAGAGAUGAAUAAUAGAAAGAAUUCUAUUGGUUUAUCAAUCGAGUCAUCAUCAUUAGAUCGAGAUA
Molecule: long non-coding RNA, 199 nt
Filed under: Elaeis guineensis (African oil palm)
Lineage: Eukaryota; Viridiplantae; Streptophyta; Magnoliopsida; Arecales; Arecaceae
Description: long non-coding RNA (EGUI_LNC058486)
Source: RNAcentral